GCCGAACGGGUAGAGCCGGGCACUCUGGCGGGACUGCCAUCGACAAGAUGGAGGAAGGUGGGGAUGACGUCAAGUCAUCAUGGCCCUUAUGUCCAGGGCGACACACGUGCUACAAUGGCCGGCACAGCGGGAAGCGAGGCAGUGAUGCCAAGCGGAUCCCUUAAAGCCGGUCUCAGUUCGGAUUGAAGUCUGCAACUCGACUUCAUGAAGCUGGAAUCGCUAGUAAUCGCAGAUCAGCCAACGCUGCGGUAGAAUAACGUUCCCGGGCCUU
This 271-nucleotide ribosomal RNA is filed under the name uncultured Thermanaerovibrio sp. RNAcentral describes it as "partial 16S ribosomal RNA". It matches the Rfam family "Bacterial small subunit ribosomal RNA", at positions 1117 to 1382 of the family's 1533-position model. The record is from RNAcentral. Lineage: Bacteria; Thermotogati; Synergistota; Synergistia; Synergistales; Synergistaceae.